UCAGAAUGUGACAUAGUCGUAUUUGAAGCCUUCCUCACCCAGUGCUCAGACAGAUGGCUCGUUCUGCAGAGAGGUGAUAUGAGGAAAGCAGACUGCUGGCUUUGAAUUUAGGGGAUGAAAUGGGACGCUGGAGUAAACAAACAGGAGGAGAUAAACUGGCAAAAAGUCCUCCCCCAUGAGGUUGUUUCUCGUAUGCACAAAGAAAGGAAGAGAGAUGGAGACAAAUGUUCAGCAUGUGCAAGAUUCGUGGUGCACGAUUGGUUCCCCACUCCGGAGUGGAAUCCAGUGAAAUUGGACUCCUCUUUAAAAAACAAAGAGUGAGUGCACAACAAAGGAUAAGUGAUCAAAUGAUUAGCCAGAGGCUAAUAGGAAUGUGAGGGAAGAGUGACAGAUUGCAUGGUAGGAGGAAAUCUGAUCUGGAAAUUGAAGCUUUCUGCAGCUGAGCUGCACAAGAACUAAUUUUUAAACCUUUCUGAAGUGUAUAAAUAUAUCAAAAUUCGAAAUUGCUUGUGUACAAGGCAUUGUGCAAUACAAGAAAGGAGGCUAAUGGAUAAAUAAAUUUCAUUA
RNAcentral lists this long non-coding RNA (567 nucleotides) under Gallus gallus (chicken). Its description in RNAcentral is "long non-coding RNA NONGGAT007868". Lineage: Eukaryota; Metazoa; Chordata; Aves; Galliformes; Phasianidae. The record is from RNAcentral.